This 236-nucleotide unclassified non-coding RNA is filed under the name Hevea brasiliensis (rubber tree). Lineage: Eukaryota; Viridiplantae; Streptophyta; Magnoliopsida; Malpighiales; Euphorbiaceae. The record is from RNAcentral.
AGAUGAUGUUGAAGUGAAAGACAAAAAUUUUCAGUAGAUUUUAGUUAAAAUCAUCGUCAUAUGUUUAUUUUGAUUCUUUAAUAAAUGGUAAACAGAUAACUUCCAUCAUCCAUUACAAAGCAUAGCCAGAGGGUUUAUGUGGUAUCCUCGAGUUUAAAUCAUUCUGGUGACAGCAUUUUGUUACAGAUAUAGAUUCAUGACAUGUUGAACUUUUUAGCUUUGAAUGAACAGUACGU